Molecule: ribosomal RNA, 429 nt
Filed under: Bacteroidota bacterium
Lineage: Bacteria; Pseudomonadati; Bacteroidota
Description: Bacteroidetes bacterium partial 16S ribosomal RNA
Rfam family: Bacterial small subunit ribosomal RNA
Source: RNAcentral
UAGGGAAUCUUCCGCAAUGGACGCAAGUCUGACGGAGCAACGCCGCGUGAGUGAAGAAGGUUUUCGGAUCGUAAAGCUCUGUUGUUAAGGAAGAACGAGUGUGAGAAUGGAAAGUUCAUGCUGUGACGGUACUUAACCAGAAAGGGACGGCUAACUACGUGCCAGCAGCCGCGGUAAUACGUAGGUCCCGAGCGUUGUCCGGAUUUAUUGGGCGUAAAGCGAGCGCAGGCGGUUAGAAAAGUCUGAAGUUAAAGGCAGUGGCUCAACCAUUGUAGGCUUUGGAAACUGUUUAACUUGAGUGCAGAAGGGGAGGGUGGAAUUCCAUGUGUAGCGGUGAAAUGCGUAGAUAUAUGGAGGAACACCGGUGGCGAAAGCGGCUCUCUGGUCUGUAACUGACGCUGAGGCUCGAAAGCGUGGGGAGCGAACAGG